Molecule: ribosomal RNA, 301 nt
Filed under: uncultured bacterium
Lineage: Bacteria
Description: partial 16S ribosomal RNA
Rfam family: Bacterial small subunit ribosomal RNA
Source: RNAcentral
CAGCAGCCGCGGUAAGACAGAGGAUGCAGGCGUUAUCCGGAAUGAUUGGGCGUAAAGCGUCUGUAGGUGGCUUUUCAAGUCCGCUGUCAAAUCCCAGGGCUCAACCCUGGACAGGCGGUGGAAACUACCAAGCUAGAGUACGGUAGGGGCAGAGGGAAUUUCCAGUGGAGCGGUGAAAUGCGUUGAGAUCGGAAAGAACACCAACGGCGAAAGCACUCUGCUGGGCCGACACUGACACUGAGAGACGAAAGCUAGGGGAGCAAAUGGGAUUAGAUACCCGUGUAGUCCCUGUCUCUUAUAC